GAUAUUUUAAUAAGGCGAAAAAGAGAGGAGACGAGGGAUUUGAAAACAGUACAGAGGAAGACAGGGACAGCAGGAGUGGAGCAUCGUCAGAAGAGAGAAUGAGAUAUGUGGAAAAUGGAGAUGAUGAGACACAAGUGCGAUCCAUCAAAGACUGUAGAGAAAGAGUGUGAGUCACAGUGUACUCCAUCAAAAAAAGGAAGAAUGCAGGGACAGCCUCAUAUGGCUCUGAAUUUAAUUCACAGUGGAUCAAGGAAUGGUCUUGCAUCACACCUGGGACUACACCUUUUCACUUUUGUUGUGCAACCUGCCGGCAUGAGUUAGAAUGCAAACACCAGGGCAGAGCCGAUGUGAUUCUCCACUUCAACAGGAAAUCACACUUAAAAAAACAAAAAAUGGUUGACAGCUUGUCAAAAUGGGUUUUUUCACAAUGCAAAGCACUGAGACGAUGAAUAGUGGUUAAGUAUAGUGGUUAUUUAGUGGGGGUUAAGAUGCAAUGAUUGAUGUUAUGUCAACAAAACUUUGCCUAACUUGUUAUUAAAUUAAUACAUUGAUUAAUUAAUAAAAUAACAUAAAUUACCUAACUGCAGCACACUCUACACCUAUGUAGAUAUGUGAUUGGGUUUACUAUUUUAUAUGUACUUUCAUCAUUACACAACCACAGACCUGAAGAGCCUAGGUGAAAGUGACUAUGACAGUGAUGCAGCACAACAUCCCAUUGGCAUUUUCAGAUCACCUGAGCCCACUGUUCAAGGAGUGUUUCCCUGAUUCCAAGAUAGCACAAAAGUAUUCCUCGGCCAAUAAAAAACCCCCAAAAUAUUCUCAUAAGUCAAGUCAUGGGCAAUAAAUGCAACAAGUCACCGUGGGACCAUAUUCAGCAAAAUGAAAGAGGUGCUGGAAGGGCACAAUAUCCCAUGGGCCAACUGUGUGGCCCUUGCAGUUGACAAUGCUAGUGUCAAUCUGGAAAUCAAGAAUUCCAUUAAGAGCAGGAUCCUGGACCAAAAUCCAUCCAUCUACAUUCUUGGCUGUCCCAGCCACAUUGUGCACAACAACACUGGUGGCUUGGUGUACUCCAAGAUAUCAGGUUUUGAUGUUGAAGAUUUCUGUAUCUCGCCUACUAGUUUAAAUCCAGCACUUAGAGGAAAAACAUGCUUGAUGGCAGGUUAUCCUUACAUAACACAUUUAUUGUAUUCAAUGAUUCAGAAAUUGUUUGAAGGGCCACUCUAAAAUACAUAUUUUGUGCUACUCAGAAUUCUGCAUGUUUUGUGACACUGAAUACAUGGAGGUACUUCAGCAUUUGAGCAUCAGGUGGCUCAGUUUGGAUCUGGCUGUCAACUGCAUACUCAGCCUCUACAAGGCCCUGAUGAGCUACUUCAGAUCCACUAGAGAAAAGCAAGCCAGGUGUCUGUGGCUCUGUGUCUGUUUUGAGGAUCUGUUGAGAAAGGUUCAUCUCCACUUCUACCAGGCACUUCUGCCUACAUUUUGCCAGUUUAAUCUGUUAUUCCAGAAGCAGCACAGAUGCAUCUAUCAACUCCAUGGGCUAGUACACGAUUUAACUGUUUCUGUUAUUAUUAUUAUUAUUAUUAUUAUAAAUGAUUCUUAUAUUAAUGUUUAUGGAUGGGGGGGAGUUGCAUAUGUUCUCUGUUUUAGGUGAGGGCAUUCAUCCAAACGCAGGUGUCAAAGGUCUUGAAGCCUGCAGCUUUCAGAACAACAAGCUUGCUCUGCAUGGCUUGCCUUCUGAAUCAUAGAACUGUAUCAGUGGAGGUGGGCAGUAGGUGCUUGCGUUGAGCUACACACUUUAACAGUGAUUGAUUGAAUGACAGAGAUCCAACCCAGGACUGGGCUGGGUCCAAAUUAUAUUAAUUGGAAUAUAACAAUAGAAGGUUCUCUUUCCAUUGGAAGAGCAUCAUGCUGCUGCUAAUGUGCUUUCUCUCUUUUUUGUUGCUUUUUGUUGCAAAAUGCAAAAUGUUGUUUUUGUUGACAACAUUUUGCAUUUGGUCUAAUUACCUUUGGGCAGUAAUCACAGGUUCCUGCAAUGGGUCUCAGGUUCCAGUAGGUUUAACACAAAUCAGUUUUUGAUUGUGUCCAGUGAAGACCUCUAGUCUGUCAAACUGGCAGAAAAUGUAGUUUGGCUAUCCAUGAUCUCCAGGGGAUGACUCAUAAUGAGUUUGGUAAUCCUCUGACCUUUCUCCAGCACCACCAUCAGGCCAAAGACACAUAGCAUUCUAGGAUUUUUCCAUGACCUGAGAUGAACUCUUUUAAUUUUAAUGAUCUUGUGGCCUUUCUUCUUGCAUCAGGAUGAAUUGUAACAAAUACGGUGACCCCCUGGAUUUUAAUUUCGAGUCAUUAUAUCAAAAUUUCAAUUUGUCCAACACUUUAAUUUAUACAAAUACCUGUGAAAUUAAUCCCUGUGGCUGUGACGUUUAACUUCAGCAUAAACUAUCCUGCUGGAAGGAAAUAGUACAUUUGUUGGGGACUAUUUUCAGCGACUGAUUAAUCCACAUUUGAGAAAUAAGUGCAUUGGAACAGCCUACAUGGUGGCAAAUCAGAUUGUUCUCCAGGUCAUGUGAGGAGCAAAGAAUAAAAAUAAGAAAAUUGACAUCUACCCAUGGUAAUAAACGAACAUGUCACCCAGUCACCCAGUAAAACAGUGUGGCUCAUUUAUGUGUUUUGGAAAACAAUGGAACUCUAUGGCGCAGGGGAAUAAGAUAUAUCAGGCUUUGAAUACACACACAAUACUUUUUAGUAGGUUUAACUCUGUAUAUGGGAUUUGUUGACAGUAAGUAAAAAAUAUAGAAUAUCUCCAGGCUUACCCUUUAAGUGGGCACGUCUUCACUCCACCUUUCAAACUGAAGUUGCCAAAUUGAUUGUUAACGGUUUGUCACAAAUGCAUAAAAACAAACAAAAAUGUAUGCAAUUUGUUUUUGUCAGUAGUUAAGCCCCAACCUGCACAUCAUCCACUGUGCCCUCAUGUUCUGAUGCUGUCUCUCAGAUUCAUAUGUAUGCACAAAGGAAAGCUGCAAUAUGCCAUUCCCCAGAUUAAUUCUCUUUCACUUUUAAUUCAAACAACGCUAAAGUUGAAAUGACAAGUUGUGCUGACAGCGAC
Thunnus maccoyii (southern bluefin tuna) is the source of this 3103-nucleotide long non-coding RNA. RefSeq lists it as uncharacterized. The record is from RefSeq and is a predicted model, not a curated record. Lineage: Eukaryota; Metazoa; Chordata; Actinopteri; Scombriformes; Scombridae. The transcript is spliced from 4 exons.